RNAcentral lists this unclassified non-coding RNA (430 nucleotides) under soil metagenome. Its description in RNAcentral is "partial contains 5.8S ribosomal RNA, internal transcribed spacer 2, and large subunit ribosomal RNA". The stretch from base 1 to 120 matches the Rfam family "5.8S ribosomal RNA", at positions 35 to 154 of the family's 154-position model. The record is from RNAcentral.
GAUGAAGAACGGAGCGAAAUGCGAUACGUAAUGUGAAUUGCAGAAUUCAGUGAAUCAUCGAAUCUUUGAACGCAUAUUGCGCUCUCUGGUAUUCCGGAGAGCAUGCUUGUUUGAGUAUCAGUAAACACCUCAACUCCCUUUUCUUUUUUGAAAUUGGAGCUGGACUUGAGUGAUCCCAACGCUUUCUUCCAAGAAAGUGGCGGGUUGCUUGAAAUGCAGGUGCAGCUGAACUUUUCUCUGAGCUAUAAGCAUAUCUAUUUAGUCUGCCUAAAAAACAGAUUAUUACCUUUGCUGCAGCUAACAUAAAGGAGACUAGUUCUUGUGCUGACUGAUGCAGGAUUCACAGAGACAGCUUCGGCUGACUUUGUAAACUCGAUCUCAAAUCAAGUAAGACUACCCGCUGAACUUAAGCAUAUCAAUAAGCGGAGGA